Molecule: long non-coding RNA, 1084 nt
Organism: Ostrea edulis (European flat oyster)
Lineage: Eukaryota; Metazoa; Mollusca; Bivalvia; Ostreida; Ostreidae
Exons: 4
Source: RefSeq, a predicted model, not a curated record
GUCCCCUAAUGGAGUAGAACAAUGAUGUAUUGUUGGGUGCAACAGUUACUGUGGCGCAAGUGAGAGGAAUGCUGCUGGGUGCAACAUUGCCUGUGGCACAAGGAAGAGGAAUGCUGCUGUGGAGGCGAUCAACCGUGGUGUUAGGAGGAGGUAUCCCUUCAACACCUGCUGAAGUAAUGGUGGUGGACAUUGGAAGUAGACGACAAAGGUUCAAUGUCUGGUGCAGCAUUGGUGCAUGGAGGAAGUAAUUAAUCUACCAACAAGGUGGCGGAUCUUGAAGCUGGAAACUACAUAGGAACAGUGUAGCAACGAUAUAUGUGCAUAUCCUUUGAAAUUUCAGAUCAUUGAGUUGUCACAAAAACAAGAAUGCUACAUUUGUAAGGUACCAAAUAAACUAUUACCUGGAUUAGGGAAACAUAUUUACAAUUUUCCAUCCUGGUUGUAAAUUUUGACUUUGCAAUUGUAAAAAAAGUUCUCCAUUCCUAUACUGUUGAACCACUAUAUUCCAAGUAUCUUUCACAAAUAACUGCUCAGCUUUUACUGAGGAGGAGCGGAGAUGUCUUGGUGGAGCUACAGUUGGGGAUGUUUCUGUUGGACUAUCCAGAAAUUCCAGACCUUCAGCAAUUGACCUCCACAAAUCUUGGUUUAGCAGGCAUCAGCCUGAGGACCAAUUGAGGUUAGAUAGGACCAGUGCAGGUUGAAGUGGGUUUCGAGUCAACAAAUUUAACAGCAAACGAGGUACACCAUUUACAGAGAUGAUGACAUAUACCCUGGACCCCCACAACUCCACAACUUUAAAAUUGGUUCAUCGAGUUCCGAAGAUUAAAGAACUACUGCAAAAUUUGGGACUUGGAUGAAAAACAUUAAUUCACUUAUGAGCUCAGAGCAGUGGAUGUUGUACAACAUACUUGAAAUUGAAUUGUGAAUUUAAGCGAAAACAAGUACAUGUACUCGUGCAUUACAUGUACAUUUCUUUUAAAAUACAAUAAUAUUACACAGAUGUAAAUGAAAUUUCACUGUUGAUUAUUCUUUCUUAGAUAUAUUAGUAAACAAUGUGCACAUGUUAUAAUACCAAUAUUAUAAA